RNAcentral lists this ribosomal RNA (21 nucleotides) under Ficus hispida. Its description in RNAcentral is "partial 28S ribosomal RNA". The record is from RNAcentral. Lineage: Eukaryota; Viridiplantae; Streptophyta; Magnoliopsida; Rosales; Moraceae. RNAcentral also lists the same sequence under 1 other name.
AGGUCAGGCGGGGCUACCCGC